ACGAACGCUGGCGGCAUGCCUAACACAUGCAAGUCGAACGAGACCUUCGGGUCUAGUGGCGCACGGGUGCGUAACGCGUGGGAACCUGCCCUUAGGUUCGGAAUAACUCCCCGAAAGGGGUGCUAAUACCGGAUAAUGUCUUCGGACCAAAGAUUUAUCGCCUUUGGAUGGGCCCGCGUUGGAUUAGCUAGUUGGUAGGGUAAAAGCCUACCAAGGCGACAAUCCAUAGCUGGUCUGAGAGGAUGAUCAGCCACACUGGGACUGAGACACGGCCCAGACUCCUACGGGAGGCAGCAGUGGGGAAUAUUGGACAAUGGGCGAAAGCCUGAUCCAGCAAUGCCGCGUGAGUGAUGAAGGCCUUAGGGUUGUAAAGCUCUUUUACCCGGGAUGAUAAUGACAGUACCGGGAGAAUAAGCUCCGGCUAACUCCGUG
This 432-nucleotide ribosomal RNA is filed under the name uncultured bacterium. RNAcentral's name for it is "partial 16S ribosomal RNA". It matches the Rfam family "Bacterial small subunit ribosomal RNA", at positions 29 to 507 of the family's 1533-position model. The record is from RNAcentral.